Molecule: ribosomal RNA, 172 nt
Filed under: uncultured bacterium
Lineage: Bacteria
Description: partial 16S ribosomal RNA
Rfam family: Bacterial small subunit ribosomal RNA
Source: RNAcentral
GAAUUGCUAGUAAUCGUAGGUCAGCAUACUACGGUGAAUACGUUCCCGGGCCUUGUACACACCGCCCGUCAAACCAUGAGAGUUGGCAACACCCGAAGUCGGUAGUCUAACCGCAAGGAGGACGCCGCCGAAGGUGGGGUUGAUGAUUAGGGUUAAGUCGUAACAAGGUAGC